CAGGCUUAACACAUGCAAGUCGAGGGGCAGCAUGGUCUUAGCUUGCUAAGGCCGAUGGCGACCGGCGCACGGGUGAGUAACACGUAUCCAACCUGCCGUCUACUCUUGGACAGCCUUCUGAAAGGAAGAUUAAUACAAGAUGGCAUCAUGAGUCCGCAUGUUCACAUGAUUAAAGGUAUUCCGGUAGACGAUGGGGAUGCGUUCCAUUAGAUAGUAGGCGGGGUAACGGCCCACCUAGUCUUCGAUGGAUAGGGGUUCUGAGAGGAAGGUCCCCCACAUUGGAACUGAGACACGGUCCAAACUCCUACGGGAGGCAGCAGUGAGGAAUAUUGGUCAAUGGGCGAGAGCCUGAACCAGCCAAGUAGCGUGAAGGAUGACUGCCCUAUGGGUUGUAAACUUCUUUUAUAAAGGAAUAAAGUCGGGUAUGGAUACCCGUUUGCAUGUACUUUAUGAAUAAGGAUCGGCUAACUCCGUGCCAGCAGCCGCGGUAAUACGGAGGAUCCGAGCGUUAUCCGGAUUUAUUGGGUUUAAAGGGAGCGUAGAUGGAUGUUUAAGUCAGUUGUGAAAGUUUGCGGCUCAACCGUAAAAUUGCAGUUGAUACUGGAUAUCUUGAGUGCAGUUGAGGCAGGCGGAAUUCGUGGUGUAGCGGUGAAAUGCUUAGAUAUCACGAAGAACUCCGAUUGCGAAGGCAGCCUGCUAAGCUGCAACUGACAUUGAGGCUCGAAAAGUGUGGGUAUCAAACAGGAUUAGAUACCCUGGUAGUCCACACGGUAAACGAUGAAUACUCGCUGUUUGCGAUAUACAGCAAGCGGCCAAGCGAAAGCGUUAAGUAUUCCACCUGGGGAGUACGCCGGCAACGGUGAAACUCAAAGGAAUUGACGGGGGCCCGCACAAGCGGAGGAACAUGUGGUUUAAUUCGAUGAUACGCGAGGAACCUUACCCGGGCUUAAAUUGCAGAUGAAUUACGGUGAAAGCCGUAAGCCGCAAGGCAUCUGUGAAGGUGCUGCAUGGUUGUCGUCAGCUCGUGCCGUGAGGUGUCGGCUUAAGUGCCAUAACGAGCGCAACCCUUGUUGUCAGUUACUAACAGGUUCCGCUGAGGACUCUGACAAGACUGCCAUCGUAAGAUGUGAGGAAGGUGGGGAUGACGUCAAAUCAGCACGGCCCUUACGUCCGGGGCUACACACGUGUUACAAUGGGGGGUACAGAGGGCCGCUACCACGCGAGUGGAUGCCAAUCCCCAAACCUCUCUCAGUUCGGACUGGAGUCUGCAACCCGACUCCACGAAGCUGGAUUCGCUAGUAAUCGCGCACCAGCCACGGCGCGGUGAAUACGUUCCCGGGCCUUGUACACACCGCCCGUCAAGCCAUGGGAGCCGGGGGUACCUGAAGUGCGUAACCGCGAGGAGCGCCCUAGGGUAAAACUGGUGACUGGGGCUAAGUC
This 1440-nucleotide ribosomal RNA is filed under the name uncultured organism. Its description in RNAcentral is "16S ribosomal RNA". It matches the Rfam family "Bacterial small subunit ribosomal RNA". The record is from RNAcentral.